This is a non-coding RNA of Petromyzon marinus (sea lamprey), 6066 nucleotides long. Lineage: Eukaryota; Metazoa; Chordata; Hyperoartia; Petromyzontiformes; Petromyzontidae. The record is from RefSeq and is a predicted model, not a curated record.
GAGCCGGCGGCGGCGGCGGCGGGGCGGCCGCCGCCGCGUUUGCGUACGGGCGGCGGGAGGCCGGAGGAGGGGCCAGCCCCAAGUGGACGCACGACAAGUUCCGUGCCAGCGACGACGACGAUGACGACGACGAUGGCAGCAGCAGCGGAGGAGGAGGAGGAGGCCGUGGCAGAAAUGACGACGACGACGACGAUGGAGGAGGAGGAGGAGCAAGGGGAGGAGGAGGGGCGGGGAGUGCGCCUGGGGGCGACAAGAAGGGGCCAGCCACGCAGAGAGGAAAAGACGACAAGGAGUCGAUCGCCGGCGGCGCCGACAAAUGAGAGAGCGGAGAGAGCAGAGAGAGAGAGCGCGCGGAGGAGAGAGACGAGAAGAGAGAGAUGAGAGGGGGAGGUGGAGAGGGGUAGGGAGAGAGGGGGGGGUGGAGAGCAAUCAGCGCCGGACGAGCGCUCUGUGGUCUUUAAUCUCCCCGUUCCAUUUGCCCACCUGGGGUUUGGAACGCUGGCGAGCGUUGCCGCUGCCGCCGCCGGCUGUCUCCUCGACCGGCGUCCGACCGCUCAACGCCGGUCGGCAUGCGUGGCCCGGCCCUCGGGAGAGAGGAAAUUGGUGGCCGCCCACCGCUGUCUUUCCCCCCCCCCCCGAGAGGUGGUCGGGAGGGCCGGCUUUGUCUGUACGGUCGUGCCCGGCGGCCGUGUCUCUCAGCCGUAUCUGACGGCCAUGUCUAGCGGUCGCCAGACACGCCCACUAGACACGGCCACUAGACACGGCCACUAGACACGGCCACUAGACACGCCCACUAGACACGCCCACUAGACACGGCCGCUAGACACGCCCGCUAGACACGGCCACUAGACACGGUCACUAGACACGCCCGCUAGACACGGUCGCCAGACACGCCCACUAGACACGCCCACUAGACACGCCCACUAGACACGCCCACUAGACACGGCCACUAGACACGGCCGCUAGACACGGCCGCUAGACACGGCCACUAGACACGGCCACUAGACACGCCCGCUAGACACGCCCGCUAGACACGCCCGCUAGACACGCCCACUAGACACGCCCACUAGACACGGCCACUAGACACGCCCGCUAGACACGGCCACUAGACACGGUCACUAGACACGCCCGCUAGACACGGCCACUAGACACGCCCGCUAGACACGCCCGCUAGACACGGCCGCUAGACACGGUCACUAGACACGGCCACUAGACACGCCCGCUAGACACGGCCGCUAGACACGCCCGCUAGACCCGCCCGCUAGACACGCCCGCUAGACACGCCCGCUCGACACGGCCGCUAGACACGGUCACUAGACACGGUCUUUAGACACGGCCACUAGACACGCCCGCUAGACACGCCCGCUAGACACGGCCGCUAGACACGCCCGCUAGACCCGCCCGCUAGACACGCCCGCUAGACACGCCCGCUAGACACGGCCGCUAGACACGGCCACUAGACACGCCCGCUAGACACGCCCGCUAGACACGGCCGCUAGACACGCCCGCUAGACACGGCCGCUAGACACGGCCACUAGACACGGCCGCUAGACACGGCCGCUAGACACGGCCACUAGACACGGCCACUAGACACGGCCACUAGACACGCCCGCUCGGCACACCCCCUCCCCCCCCCUAUCGCCACCGGCGUCGCGGACGAGCAGAUUGAGGCGGCAGCGUGCGUGGGCGAGGUCUGCAGGGUGAGGUCGGUUCUCUGCAGCGUGGAGGUGAAGGCGAGAGACUUACAGACUUAGACUUAGACAGACUUUACACAGACUUUACACAGACUUUACACAGACUGAACACAGACUUAGACUUACUCAGACUUACACAGACUUACACAGACUGAUAGUCUUACACAGACUUAGACUUAGACAGAUUUUACACAGACUUUACACAGACUUAGACUUACUCAGACUUACACAGACUUACACAGACUUAGACUUCGACAGACUUUACACAGACUGAUAGUCUUACACAGACUUACAGACUUAGACUUACACAGACUUUACACAGACUUUACACAGACUUAGACAGACUUACAGACUUAGACAGACUUUACACAGACUUAGACAGACUUAUAGACUUAGACAAACAUUACACAGACUUAGGUUUAGACAGACUUUACACAGACUGAUAGUCUUACACAGGCUUACAGACUUAGACUUACACAGACUUUACACAGACUUUACACAGACUUAGACAGACUUACACAGACUUUACACAGACUUUACACAGACUUAGACAGACUUACACAGACUUACAGACUUACUCAUACUUACACAGACUUACAGACUUACACAGACUUAGACAGACUUUACACAGACUUACAGUCUUAGACUUAGACAGACUUUACAGACUUAGACUUAGACAGACUUUACACAGUCUUACACAGACUUACACAGACUGAUAUACUUACACAGAUUUAGACUUACAGACUUACACAGACUUACAGACUUACACAGACUUACGGACUUGCACAGACUGAUAGACUUACUCGGACUUACACAGACUUACACAGACUGAUAGACUUACACAGACUUACACAGACUUAGACUUACACAGACUUACAGACUUACACAGACUGAUAGACUUGCACAGACUUACAGACUUACACAGACUUACACAGUCUGAUCGACUUACACAGACUUACACAGACUUACAGACUUACACAGACUUAGACAGACUGAAAGUCUUACAGUCUUACACAGACUAACACAGACUUACAGACUUACACAGACUAACACAGACUUACACAGACUGAUAGACUGAUAGACUUAGACAGACUUACACAGAGUGAUAAACUUACAGAGUGCCCAACGUUGCAGUUACUCCUUACAGACCUCUGCCCGUUUCGCCCGCGCGCGCCGAGGAUUUCAGUCGACCACGAUUUUGUUUUCGGGGUCUCCGCGAAAGCGCGAGGAAAAGGGGGUGGUAAGUCCCUCUGUUCCCCUCGAAGCGUUGGCGCUCGUACGCCGCCUCCCGAAAGUAAACCACCGCCGCUCUCGGCGAGGUCUCCUACUGCGUGUGCCAUUAAGACACAGUGGUAAUGCGUUGGGGGGGGUCUCUUUGUUUAGCGGUAGGUCUCCAACGGAUGCCAGCCACGGCCAGCCAGACCCGGUGUCAAUUGCGAGUGUAAUGGCCUCGUAAACGGAAGCGCGCGCGCGUGAAUAGUAUGUUCCCGACGUUAAUUUGUGGUGGUGGUGUUGUUGCGAACGAGACGGCCGUGCGACGAUCGGCUGCGCCAGAAGUGGAUCUCCGAUAGGCACAACGAUCUCCGCCGCCCCCUUGCGGCGUCUGCCCAGCCUCCGACCUUCCCCCCACCCCCCGAUCAUCGUCAAGCCGAGACGAAAAGUCACAGUGAGGAGGAGUGGCCGAGCCGUCGGGAGAGAGAGAUGGAGAGGGGUGCGCUGAAGGCGGGCACGGUGGCUCGGACGCGUUUAUUUUUUGUUUUAUAUAUAUCCGUUAAUUUGCGAGUUCCCCUUUCUCUCGUGAUGUGUGUUGUGUAUAUAUAUGCACACGUACCAAAAAUGGCUGCACACACGAGGAUGAACAGAUUGAACGUACGAAUGGAAAGUGAAAGCCACUGGGGGUGGGGAGGGGGGGGGGAAUAAAUACGCACGCACAUCGUUUUAAGUGGACGAAGUUCCAGAGAGCUACGGUGUGUGGAACCUUAACACCCCCUGGGGUACAGUCGUCGAGAGAGUGGAUGUGGGGGGGGGGGGGGGGUCUGUCUUUGAUUCACGUCUUACUGAUAUUAUCGUGUUGGUAUUGUAAUUGUCCUUUGUUUUAUUCUGGUGGUUGGGGGGGGUGGUGGAAGGUUCGAUUAAAACCGUUCGGGGAAAAUUAUCGUUUGGGUCGCUGUAAUAAAUCCCUCUCUUGUCGCUGGCACCGGUAAGUUGUCUUCGGCGACGACCUGUCUGCCAACCCCCGCUCGCCCCAACUGCUUCCACUUUCGGAUGCUUUGCAAAGCCCCGAGUCCGGCUGGCUUGUAUCGGUGGGCAUCGGUGGGGACAGAGCAGUGGAAGUGACCCGCUCACCUUGUGUGUAAGUUGUUAGUCCACUCGCAGUGAACUAGCUGAGGUUUGGGCCAUCGACUUUGAUUGCUUCACGAUACGGCAUGCGAUACGGUGGUAGUCCGCUGCAGUUACUACAAAUCAAAUGUUAUCGAUGUUUAGUGAUAGGCCACGAAAGAGCCGAGUGUGUUUUUGUUAUUUUUUUACAUUCUCUGCACCGCGAUACCUUUUAAUUUGAGUUGUAGGAAAUUACAAGUUCCGACGAGGUAUACGAAGUUAUAUCUUGACACUAGUGCGCAUUAGCCCAGGUUUAAACAAAUGUUACUAAAUCAAUCCUCAGGGGAUCGGUUUCGUUAAUCUACACCGAUAUGCCCGGUCUGACGCCCUUUGGAACUAGUCUCUUGACGUCGCCUGACCUCCGGGACUUUGGGAAGAAAUAUUGCUCUGAAAAUUCUAAUUCCCGAGACCCGUUUUGGAGUUUUGUCCGUAUUGAAAACCGCCGAAGACUCCUCGACCAGUUUUAGGGUUCUCGCCGACAUACGGUUAAUGUUCAUUAUUCAGGUGUCAACCUCAACCGGUCUCUUUCAUCAGCAUCCACGUCACCAGUUACAAUCGUGUGCCCGUGGGAACUGUUGCGGUUGAGUAAGCGGAAAAAGAUGGGGGGUUUUAAAACAAAAAUUUGGACGGCUUAUUGCAGUGUCAUAUUCCGGGAACUCGGUGUCUUAACCACCGAGCUCGAGAGACCAGAACGCGAGUCUCGAUUUGCAAGAGUGAACCGAGGUCCGCCGCACUUAACCAUGGCAGAAAAAAAUAAAACUAAAACCACAGAAGUGAAGCAAAAUAGAAAUUGGCGCAAAACGCUACAGCAGUGCCAACAUCGGAAAGUCUAAAACAUUGCACGGGCAUGAAAUCGAUGUCGAACGUUCAUUUGGUCUCCGCGAAUCUUGGCCGAUGGUUGUGCGAUUUCGUUCCCUGCCUGACCAUCUGUGGGGCCCGGUUGACCCUCUUGUGAGCGAAUGAGUGGGUGAGGCGGCCGCGAGUUAAUUGACCAGCUCCGAGGAACCGUUUUUUUGCGUGGAUUUUUUUUCCCCUGCCGCCCGAGAAGCGCCGACAACAAAAAAAAUGACGCAAAAUCGCGGUGAAAUUUGUUUGUCCGUUGAGUUUGAGGCGGCAGCCUCCAUCCCGCCUGCUCCUGUUUCCGAUUUUUACGACCACGUGGCAGCCAUUUUUUCUUAUUCAAAAUGGCGCCCGCCACCAUCACCACCCCGCGUCACAACGACGCGCGUCACAACGACGCGCGUCUGUGUGAGUUUUUCUAAUUUGUCGUCCUGCUCCAAGGGCACCUUCCCGGUCGUCGCCGCCCGCGUCCAAGUUAACUUCUUUCCGAGUUGCAGUUCCAUUCUUGUUGUUGUUCAAAGCGACGAUCUCAAUGCAUCCGUCGUUCGCGGGUGGCUAGGAGAUGUCCACCGCCUCGUUCUGGUAGACCGGAGGUCGUUGGUUCAAUGCCGACCCUGCCGCCUGCCGUAUCCUUGGCGUUUGCGUGUUCCCUCCCUCUCGGUGUUUCCCAAGCAACGUUUCGAAUGGACAUCGCCACGCGUUCCGAAGGUUUUGUCCGCUGCCGUCAAUGUCCACGCAGUGAGGAUGGCGAAGCCACUUGGUCGGGCUGCUGUCAUUCGUGCUAGGCAGGUCGCUUCUGAAAAAGAGCUCGACUGUACGCGUAGCAGCUCAGCGGACGCGGUGGGGGGGGGGGCCCUAAUACCUGCUUGAAACGGAAUAACAAAACAAAAACGACUUCAAAAUUGCCACCGAGCGAAGCCCGGCCGCAUCGAGGCCCUGUCAAGAGCGGACACCGUGGCCGGGGGGGGGGGGGGGGGGGGAGCACCCUUCACGUCUUACCCCAAGAGACCCCCCCCCCUCUCUUUGUUUACCUGCCAGUGAUGUGACGUCUGUUUGGGGUUGUGAUGGGUGGGGGGGUGUAAUUCUGUAGUCGCUUCGUACGACGACGAUGGCCCACUUUGUUUUUAAAUAUUAAAAGCCUCCAUAUUGCGAA